AAGCCCAGGCCGCUGAAGCAGAAGGUGCGAACUUGCUGCACUGCUGGGCCAGCCCCAUCUCUUUGUAUUUUUGAUCUUCCAACUCUUUUGUUGAAUUUUUGUUGAGGUGAUUAUCUUUUUAUGUGCUCUAAUUCUAUUUCUUCUUCUAUGAAUGUUCCUUUUUCUGCAUUUUGGUUUUGUUCUGUGGGUUCAAUAUCUCUCUUAUCUCUCCAAGGAUAUUAAUUACAACUCCCCCCCCAAAUUUGUUUUGGUUCUUUUCUCAUUUUAAUUUUAGAAGCUUUCAGUUCUUCCGUUUUGUUUCUAAUUAAGAUCAAGGCCCUAAAAAGUGAAUAGGAAGUUCUGUGGGUGUGGGCUGCAUUUCUGCACUGCUGAACCUGCUGUGUUUGCCAUGACUGACCAGCCAGCUUCUGUGUUUUGAAACCCCCAAAUGUCUCUAUUCCUAAUGGGGUUUUCUGUGAGGCAGCAUAUUCUGUCUUACACCUGCUGAGGGGGAAUUAACAUGGCUACCAGCUUUCUGGAAUUUGGUGGAAAAAGGAAAGCAUGGGAUCCAUAGUUUAGCAAGCCAGCUUUAGCUUAAUUUCAUGUUUUUGCCAAUAUAGUACCUUGCUGUCUUCUGUGCCUUGUGCCUGAGGUGUGUGAGAGGUGGGGUAGUCAUCUGAAGGGACUCAGAGUGGGCAGGGACAAGGGAUGAGGGCUUAAUUGCUCCCUAUGUGGUUUUUAAAUACUCUCCGUGAUAUCUUCAAAUCAUUCCUUGUAAUCCCAAUACCUGAGCCUUUCCAGGGUUGUUAGGAGCCAAACGUGUUAGUAAAUCCAUGUGCAAGAUUUCCUUCCCCUCACUCUUCUAAGUUAUUCCUCCAUUUACUUCAGUCUUCAAACACUGGGGCUCAGGGUUACAGAAGUCUACUUACUUUCUAAAGAGAUAUUUUUAUAUCUGUUUGUUUUCAUUUUGUCUUCCUGGAUUUUAGGGGGUUGGAUUUUGAGAGGAGAGAACAUGGAAAUGUCGAUUGCACCAACUCAAAAUCGCAAAUCCCAUGAUCAGAUAUGGAGAAAGAGAUUCUCAUUGUUACCAAACUUGUCAAAAUUUAUUUUUAAAAAGAACAAUUUAUUAAUUAGUACUUAUCAAAAUUAUCGCAAAGUAAAUUAGAAUAUUUCUAAGGGCUGCUGAAAGCCAUCUUGUCCUACUAGGAAAGUCAACUUAAGAAACCAAAUAAAGAUGUAAGCAUUUCUGGUGGGUAUUGAAUCAGAGCAGAGAAAGUUAAGGGAUCCUUCUGGUUAACGUUAUGACAUUAUCCUAGGUGCCUGCCAAGAUCAACAGAACACUUAUAUGGGGCAGCCAGGGAACUCUUACCACUGGACAGUUCUGCUAAUACAGAGACAAAUUUCUAUUUUUCUUUCUCGGUUCUUCCUGCAGACUAUCGAUAUCUACUGCUACAACAAUACAUUUUACAAUUAUUUUGUGAGAAAGGAACAAACAUUUAUUGAGUGUCCACUCUGCACCAUAUACAGUACUGUGGCUUAUGCAUUUUUAUUAUUAUUAUUUCCUUAUGAUAAAAAGCUUAUGUAUUUUUAGCGAGAUUUUAGGGAAGUAUCUGGUUUCUAGAUGAAAUUUAAGAGAUUACUAUCAUUUACUUGAAUCAUUUCCUGGGAAAUGUUUCACAUGUGGCUAACUACAUUCAUUUUAUAAUGAUUUUUGUAGUUUUUAAUUGAGUUGUUGAUUUUCUCUGUUUGUUCAUAGUUCUGUACAUAAGUCCUUUGUUUACCGAUAACGUACAUUGACUACAUACUCAACAUUGUACAAAAUCUCCCUUACUUGUUUUUCCACAGAAAACAAGGAGCAUGAAAUCUUUGUGUUUGAAGAGGUCUUAAAAAAGCAGGUCAGAGUCCCAAACUAAACACAAACCCUCACUCAAGUUUGGAGAAAAGCCAAAAAAUAAAAAAAGGAGGAAAAGGAAAAUUUUAAAUUGUAAUGUAAAAACACCCACAUACAACAACAACAAAAAUGUACUUUUCUAAUCACUGCACAUUCUUAUGCUUCCUGGCCAGAACCGAAGCAACACUGAAGAGUUUUUCUGCGGCUGGAUUCUGCUCUGCAUUUUGCACCUGCUCCUGAGGUGAGCCAGACUGGCAGGGAGAGGAGUCAGCUCCUCAUAGUCAUUUUAUGGAAUAAAUUGUAACAUGAAGAGCAUCUUCAAGAAAUUAUAUCCUACGGCCUUUCUUAAGAUCACCCUGCAAUUUCACCCUGCAAUUUAAGAUGGGCCCUCAGCUAAACACAGGAGGUGAAAUUAGGCAGCAUCCAGAUAGAAUCAAAUUUUGGUAAACAAUUAUUUAAAGGAACUGCUAGUUUCCCACCAUCAUGGCCAGGAAACCAGAAGAUUGUGUUCAUCUCUAUCAUCUCUAUCAAACUAUGAAGAUGAGUGCCUCCAUUCAUCUUGCCUUUCCAAGGGUAUCUUCCAAUUCAGUAAAGGCCACUCUCUUUUGGAAUCUCAAAAUGGACAAGUUGGCCCGAAAGUUCCUAUGAAAAUUCGAAGGACACAAAAUAGUUAAAACAAUCUCGGAAAAAAAAAAAGAAGAUUGGAGAAAUCACACAUCUCACUUUCAAAACUUACCACAAAGCUACAGAAAUCAAGACAGUGUGGUAGUGGCAUAAAUACAGACAUACAGACCCCUGGAAUGAGAUUGAGGGUCCAAAAAUAAAUCCACAUGUCCAUGGUCAAUUGAUUUUCCACAAGGUGUAAAGACUGUGUAAUGGGGAAAGACUGGUCUUUUCAACGUGUGGUGCUGAGACAAGUGGAUAUCCACAUGCAGAAGAAUGAAAUUGGACCCCCACCUCAUGCUAUGUACAAGAAUUAACUUCAAAUAGAUCACAGACCUAACUGUAAGAGCUAAAACUAUAAAUCUCUUAGAAGGAAAAAUAGGUGUAAAUCUGCAUGGUCUUGGAUUAGGCAACAGUUUUUCAGAUAUGACACCAAAAGCAUGAGCAAAAACAACAACAAAAAAUAGAUAUAUUGGACUUCAUUAAAUUAAAUACUUUUGUGUUUCAAAUGACACUGUCAAGAAAACGAAAAUACAACUCAAAGAUUGAGAGAAAAUAUUUGCAAAUCAUAUAACUGAUAAAGGUCUAGUAUUCAGAAUAUACAAAGAAUGUUUACAACUCAACAAUAAAAAGACAAAUAAGCCGAUGAAAAACGGGAAAAGGAUCUGAAUAGACAUUUCUAAAAGGAAGACAUAAAAACAGCCAAUAAGCAUAUUAAAAGAUAAGUGAGAUACAACUUCACAUUCACUAGGAUGGUAAUGAUAAAUUUUUUAAAAAGGAAAACAAUGGAGAGAAUGUAGAGAAAAUGGAAUGCUAAUAUGUUGUACUUUUUGAUAGUGUACAAUUGUAUGUUUUAAAAUAGUGAAUAAAUAAUAAUGAAUAACUAGGAAUGUAAAAUGAUGCAGUUGCUGUGGAAAACAAUUUUGUGGUUUCUCAAAAAGUGAAAUGUGGAAUGACCAUAGGGCCCAACAAUUCCACUCUUAGGUAUAUACUCAAGAGAAUUAAAAAUAUACGUUGACACAAAAAAAUAUACAUCUACACGAAUAUUCAUAGCAGUAUAUUCAUAGUAGCCAAAAAGUGGAAACAGCCCAAAUGUCCAUCAAAUGAUGAAUGAAUAAACAAAAUGUCAUAUGUCCAUAUUAUGGAAUAUUAUUCAGCCACAAAAAAGGAAUGAAGCACUGUUACAUGCUACAACGUGGAUGAACCUUGAAAACAUUAUGCAAAGUGAAAUAAACCAGACACAAAUGUCCACAUAUUGUGUGAUACCGUUUAUAUGGAACGUCCAGAACAGACAAAUCUACAC
Molecule: long non-coding RNA, 3836 nt
Filed under: Equus caballus (horse)
Lineage: Eukaryota; Metazoa; Chordata; Mammalia; Perissodactyla; Equidae
Description: lncRNA (ENSECAG00000050027.1)
Source: RNAcentral